GCGGCCCAGCACUCAGAGCCGCCGGCGGCGCCACCCGCCCGGGGCAGUAAAGUAAGGCUUAGCACCCGGACCAGCAGCUGCGGAGGGUGCGCCCGGUCCCCCAGCAGUGCCGGCGGGCGCUCAAAUUCUCACCUGGCCUCAGCUGCCUCCCCUCGGGGCAGGGCUUGGGACCCGCAGCCCGCCAUGCCUGAGCCUCCCCCACGCCUGAGCCUCCCCCACGCUGUGGGCUCCUGCGCCAACGGCACCUCCCCGACAAGCAUCGCCCCCUGCUCCACGGCACCCAGUCCCAUCGACCACCCAAGGGCUGAGGAGUGCCGGCGCACCUGGCGGGACUGGCCUGCAACUCCGGCAGCUCCGGCAGCUCCGGCAGCUCCACAAGCUCCCCUGUGCGGGAUCCACUGGGUGAAGCCAGCUGGGCUCCUGAGUCUAGUGGAGACUUGGAGAACCUUUAUGUCUAGCUAAGGGAUUGUGAAUGCACCAGUCAGCGCUCUGUGUCUAGCUCAAGUAAAUCUUGCUGCUGCUCAGUUUUUGGGUCCACACUGCCUUUAUGAGCUACACUUAUCGUGAAGGUCUGCAGCUUCUCUCCUGAGGCCGGCGAGACCACGAAUCCACCGGGAGGAAUGAACAACUCCAGACGCACCGCCUUAAGAGCUGUAAUGCUCAACACAAAGGUCUGCUGCUUCACUCCUGAAGCCAGAGAGACCACAAACCCACCAGAAGGAAGAAACUCCGAACACAUCCAAGCAUCAGAAGGAACAAACUCUGGACACGCCACCUUUAAGAACUGUAACACUCACCACGAGGGUUCGUGGCUUCAUUGUUGAAGUCAGUGAGACCAAGAACCCACCAAUUCCAGACACACUAUGAGAGCAUAAAAUCAGUUUUGCCAGCACUCACACCUCAUCCGCAUCUAAGCAGCAAAUCAUGAGAAAAAAAAAUCACUAUUUAACAUCUUCCACAUCUCACAAUCACUAUGUUAGUUAGCAAUAUAUUGCCUCUUAUCUCAGAAUACACUUUUCAAUAUAUGCUCUGUGAUGGUAAAAUUUCCUUAAGCAUUUAUCCUUUAAAGUGAGCACAGUAUGAAGUUAUCUCAGUACAGGAAUGUAGGAAUAUUGCAGGAGGAAAAGUCUGCCCUGUAGUUUUCAGCAUGGGUCAGGGGUGAGUGGCAUGAGUGUGAGGUCAUCCAGUGAAGCACUGCCCCAGCUAUCGGCUGAGAAUGUAGUCCCUCUGUGACCUUUCCAGUCUCGCCUGGUGAUAACCUUUCCACAGCCUGGAAACCAGAGCCCCACCCAGACCUGUGCUCUAAAGGCCUCCUGCCAGGGCCUGUCCCAGGCCCCACUGUGAGCCCACACCCCCAGCUGCUGAUCCCCUGCUAAUCCCACUGACACUGCGGAAAGUUGUCUAUCACUUGCCGGCAACUCCUGCCAGCUCCAGGCUAACCAGUUGAGGGAACAUCUCUGCUAUCUAGUGGGCUGAACCAUUCCUUCUCUUACAAGAAGACCUGAAUCCAUUCUAAGUUUGUUGUUGUUUAUGCACAUUCCCUCAGCCCUAGCAUGCUGUAUAAUUUCCUUACAUCUCAUAGUUACUUUUUUAUCAUCCUUAAUUCUUUACAUGAAACAUCCCUUGUUUAGUCUACUGUGUUGUUUCUAUCUCCCGAUUAGACCCAGAAUGCUACAGUCACCAAUGUACUUUUAUAGCUAUACAAAUCAGGUAAAAAUUUCUGCCCCUUACCUCUCUUCCUCAUAAUCUCUUCCAACUCUGGGGGCACUAGAUCAGCUCUAUGAGGGGAAGGUGAAGGAAAAGCAGAAGAGAAAGUUGAUAAAAUAAAUCACAAACUCCCUGCCCCAUGGUAGUUUUCUUCAAUCACUGCAGGCUUGAUCCAAGAGAGAUUAAGGGGAGAAUAGAAGCUUCAGUUAAAUAAGCCUUGGGAAUUAUUAUAUAUGAUUGUAAAUUUCUUAGUACCUAAAGCUAACUGGAAAAGCAACUGGAUCUUCCUGAGACCUUAUCCAGGGAUAAGGAAGAAAGCAAGAGAGAAGGACCAAAGAGGCUAUGGUAAGAAAGAGAAACAUCACUUUGUACUUGCACUUUGCCAUACAAGCUUAUUCAAUAUAUUUGUUAAAUUAUUCUAUUCUGAGAUAAAGAUUUCACAGAACUAUUAAAAUUGUACUCCGCUACUCUAUAGA
This is a long non-coding RNA of Gorilla gorilla gorilla (western lowland gorilla), 2183 nucleotides long. RefSeq lists it as uncharacterized. The transcript has 2 exons. The record is from RefSeq and is a predicted model, not a curated record. Lineage: Eukaryota; Metazoa; Chordata; Mammalia; Primates; Hominidae.